UUUUAAUCGUCAUGCUACCGGACUAAGACUCCACCAGGUAGGUGAGUUGCAUGAGUUUUUCCGUUGAUAAAGUGCAACAUUGCUCUUGCUGGCUGUAACUACUGCCGUGUGCUCUCAAGACAACAUGGAUUUCGAUUUGGCUUCAGCUGUAGGUAAAGAUGAUCAGGUGAAAAAGGAUGAUGCCUCUGGCCAGGAACAGAACGCCCUAUUUGGAUGGGGGAAGAAGAAGGACAAAGAUGGGGAUAAGUGUGUGUCCAAGGACAAAUCAAAGGACCAUGACAAAUCGAAGGACUGUAAGCACCAUGACAAAUCAAAGGACCAUAAGGAGGACAAAGACAAGUCUAAGGAACAUAAAGACAAGAAACAUGGUGACAAGAAGGACAAAGGUCAUAAGAAGAAGAAAGACAAGAAGCCAAAGGAGCAUAAGGACAAAGAUGAUGGGUCAUCAUCUUCCUCGUCCAGCAGCGAUGAGGAUGAAGGCAAGAAGAAGCAUCACUGAUUCUGGUGCUGUGAGGAAGUGCUACUGCCGGUGAACUCUUACAAUGUUUUGUACUGCAAUGUUGCAUGCAUGAUAUUUACUGUGUACUGUUUCCUUGUUGCUCCUGAUCAUGUUUUGAUGUGCCAGACUGUAAAGUAGUGGUUUUACAACCGAAUAUUAAAUAACCCAACAACCAGGAUAUAUGGUGAAUGUCAGACUUCUUUCCUCCCUAGUAAAAAGUCUAAUGUCCACCAGAAGGGGGAGGUGUUCUUCAUUGAAUGUUUAUUUAAUAGAUUGAAUUCAAUUGCUUUCAAGUUUUUUUUGUUAAAUUGUCC
Molecule: long non-coding RNA, 813 nt
Filed under: Salmo salar (Atlantic salmon)
Lineage: Eukaryota; Metazoa; Chordata; Actinopteri; Salmoniformes; Salmonidae
Description: lncRNA (ENSSSAG00000081928.1)
Source: RNAcentral